Molecule: ribosomal RNA, 490 nt
Filed under: uncultured bacterium
Lineage: Bacteria
Description: partial 16S ribosomal RNA
Rfam family: Bacterial small subunit ribosomal RNA
Source: RNAcentral
AUUGAACGCUGGCGGCAGGCCUAACACAUGCAAGUCGAACGGUAACAGGAAGAAGCUUGCUUCUUUGCUGACGAGUGGCGGACGGGUGAGUAAUGUCUGGGAAACUGCCUGAUGGAGGGGGAUAACUACUGGAAACGGUAGCUAAUACCGCAUAACGUCGCAAGACCAAAGAGGGGGACCUUCGGGCCUCUUGCCAUCGGAUGUGCCCAGAUGGGAUUAGCUAGUAGGUGGGGUAACGGCUCACCUAGGCGACGAUCCCUAGCUGGUCUGAGAGGAUGACCGGCCACACUGGAACUGAGACACGGUCCAGACUCCUACGGGAGGCAGCAGUGGGGAAUAUUGCACAAUGGGCGCAAGCCUGAUGCAGCCAUGCCGCGUGUAUGAAGAAGGCCUUCGGGUUGUAAAGUCCUUUCAGCGGGGAGGAAGGGAGUAAAGUUAAUACCUAUGCUCAUUGACGUUACCCGCAGAAGAAGCACCGGCUAACUCCGUG